This 896-nucleotide ribosomal RNA is filed under the name uncultured bacterium. RNAcentral's name for it is "bacterial SSU rRNA". It matches the Rfam family "Bacterial small subunit ribosomal RNA", at positions 8 to 916 of the family's 1533-position model. The record is from RNAcentral.
AGAGUUUGAUCCUGGCUCAGGACGAACGCUGGCGGCGCGCCUCAUACAUGCAAGUCGAACGUGAAGUCCGGAGCUUGCUCCGGGUGGAAAGUGGCGAACGGGUGAGGAACACGUGAGGAACCUGCCCCGAAGACCGGGAUAACACCGGGAAACCGGUGCUAAUACCGGAUGCCCUCAUCGGAUCUCAUGUUCCGAUGAGGAAAUGGAUUCCGCUUCGGGAUGGCCUCGCGGCCUAUCAGCUUGUUGGUGGGGUAACGGCCCACCAAGGCUUCGACGGGUAGCUGGUCUGAGAGGAUGUCCAGCCACACUGGGACUGAGACACGGCCCAGACUCCUGCGGGAGGCAGCAGUAGGGAAUCUUGCGCAAUGAGCGAAAGCUUGACGCAGCGACGCCGCGUGCGGGAUGAAUGCCUUCGGGUUGUAAACCGCUUUCAGCAGGGACGAAAUUGACGGUACCUGCAGAAGAAGCCCCGGCCAACUACGUGCCAGCAGCCGCGGUAAUACGUAGGGGGCAAGCGUUGUCCGGAUUUAUUGGGCGUAAAGAGCUCGUAGGCGGUUCGAUAAGUCGGACGUGAAAUCUCCACGCUCAACGUGGAGGGGCCGUUCGGUACUGUCGUGACUCGAGUCCGGUAGGGGAGUGUGGAAUUCCCGGUGUAGCGGUGAAAUGCGCAGAGAUCGGGAGGAACACCCGUAGCGAAGGCGGCACUCUGGGCCGGUACUGACGCUGAGGAGCGAAAGCGUGGGGAGCAAACAGGAUUAGAUACCCUGGUAGUCCACGCCGUAAACGUUGGGCGCUAGGUGUGGGACUCUAUCAACGGGUUCCGUGCCGUAGCUAACGCAUUAAGUGCCCCGCCUGGGGAGUACGGCCGCAAGGCUAAAACUCAAAGGAAUUGACGG